This 553-nucleotide ribosomal RNA is filed under the name uncultured archaeon. Its description in RNAcentral is "bacterial SSU rRNA". It matches the Rfam family "Archaeal small subunit ribosomal RNA", at positions 326 to 879 of the family's 1478-position model. The record is from RNAcentral.
CGGGGUGCAGCAGGCGCGAAAACUCUACAAUGCAUGCAACUGCGAUAGGGGGACAUCGAGUGGCAUCCACCUUGGGUGCCUGUCCAACCGUCUAAAAAACGGUUGUUAGCAAGGGCCGGGUAAGACCGGUGCCAGCCGCCGCGGUAAUACCGGCGGCUCGAGUGGUGGCCGAUAUUAUUGAGUCUAAAGGGUCCGUAGCCGGCUUUGCAAGUCCCCUGGGAAAUCCAGCGGCUUAACCGUUGGGCUUUCAUGGGAUACUACAUUGCUUGGGACUGGGAGAGGUAGGAGGUACUCGAGGGGUAGGGGUGAAAUCCUGUAAUCCUUCGGGGACCACCGGUGGCAAAGGCGUCCUACCAUAACAGGUCCGACGGUGAGGGACGAAAGCUAGGGGCACGAACCGGAUUAGAUACCCGGGUAGUCCUAGCCGUAAACGAUGCCCGCUAGGUGUCACGACGGUCGUGAGUCUUCGUGGUGCCGUAAGGAAGUCGCGAAGCGGGCCACUUGGGAAGUGCGACCGCAAGGUUGAAACUUAAAGGAAUUGGCGGGGGAGCAC